UACAGAGGUCCCAAGCGUUGUUCGGAUUCACUGGGCGUAAAGGGUGCGUAGGUGGUUGGAUAAGUCUGAUGUGAAAUCUCCGAGCUCAACUCGGAAAUGGCAUUGGAUACUAUUCGGCUGGAGGGUUGGAGGGGGGACUGGAAUACUUGGUGUAGCAGUGAAAUGCGUAGAUAUCAAGUGGAACACCAGUGGCGAAGGCGAGUCCCUGGACAACUCCUGACACUGAGGCACGAAAGCUAGGGGAGCAAACAGG
This 253-nucleotide ribosomal RNA is filed under the name uncultured bacterium. RNAcentral's name for it is "partial 16S ribosomal RNA". It matches the Rfam family "Bacterial small subunit ribosomal RNA", at positions 524 to 776 of the family's 1533-position model. The record is from RNAcentral.